AAUCUCGUGAACCAUCGAGUCUUUGAACGCAAGUUGCGCCCGAAGCCUUCGGGCCGAGGGCACGCCUGCCUGGGCGUCACGCAUCGCGUCGCCCCCUCCCUCCAGGAGCGGGGGUGCGGAGAAUGGCCUCCCGUGCGCUCCCGCCGCGCGGCCGGCCC
Molecule: ribosomal RNA, 158 nt
Filed under: Pogonospermum divaricatum
Lineage: Eukaryota; Viridiplantae; Streptophyta; Magnoliopsida; Lamiales; Acanthaceae
Description: Monechma divaricatum 5.8S ribosomal RNA
Rfam family: 5.8S ribosomal RNA (bases 1-79)
About the family: 5.8S ribosomal RNA (5.8S rRNA) is a component of the large subunit of the eukaryotic ribosome.
Source: RNAcentral